Molecule: long non-coding RNA, 213 nt
Filed under: Elaeis guineensis (African oil palm)
Lineage: Eukaryota; Viridiplantae; Streptophyta; Magnoliopsida; Arecales; Arecaceae
Description: long non-coding RNA (EGUI_LNC066058)
Source: RNAcentral
AGUAAUGUCAGUAGACUCUUUCAUCAAUUUAUAUAUGUUUCCAGCUAUAGUCAACGAAGUUCUAUAUGAAGUAGAAAAGAUAUACAAGAAUCUGUUAAAGGUUGUAAUUUUUAGUGGCAUUGAAACCAGAGACAUUGGAGUAGUAAAUUAUCCUUUCCAAAUUUAUGAAGUCAGUAUUUUUGAAGAAGAAGACUAUAUUACAUUAUCCGAUGU